AAGUCGUAACAAGGUUUCCGUAGGUGAACCUGCGGAAGGAUCAUUAGUGAAUAAAUAGGGUGUCCAAUUUAACUUGGAACCCGACCUUCUCACAUCUAACCCUGUGCAUCUGUAUUAAUGGCGAGCAAUUUUCGGAUUGUGAGCCAUUUCACUUUAUAAACACUAGUCUAUGAAUGUAAAAUUUUUAUAACAAAUAAAAACUUUCAACAACGGAUCUCUUGGCUCUCACAUCGAUGAAGAACGCAGCGAAAUGCGAUAAGUAAUGUGAAUUGCAGAAUUCAGUGAAUCAUCGAAUCUUUGAACGCAAAUUGCGCCCUUUGGUAUUCCGAAGGGCAUGCCUGUUUGAGUGCCUUAUAAACCUCACCCCUAAUGUUUUAUCACAAUAGGUUGGUGCUUUGGGUGUUGCCAUUUACCUGGCUCGCCUUAAAUGACUAAGUGGAAUGCGUAAUAAGUUCUCGCAACCCUCCACUCUAAUACAAUUUAUAUUCUGACCUCAAAUCAGGUAGGACUACCCGCUGAACUUAA
RNAcentral lists this ribosomal RNA (525 nucleotides) under uncultured fungus. Its description in RNAcentral is "eukaryotic LSU rRNA". The stretch from base 199 to 352 matches the Rfam family "5.8S ribosomal RNA". Lineage: Eukaryota; Fungi. The record is from RNAcentral.